CGAUUGUAGUCAUAUGCUUGUCUCAAAGACUAAGCCAUGCAUGUCUAAGUAUAAAUGUUAUACAGUGAAACUGCGAAUGGCUCAUUAAAACAGUUAUAGUUUAUUUGAUAAUCGAAUUACAUGGAUAACCGUGGUAAUUCUAGAGCUAAUACAUGCUGGUUAGCCUGACUUUUAGGAAGGGCUGUAUUUAUUAGAUAACAAACCAAUAUUCCUUGUGUCUAUUGUGACGACUCAUAAUAACUGAUCGGAUCGCAUGGGCUUUGCCCGCGACAAAUCAUUCAAGUUUCUGCCCCAUCAGCUUUCGAUGGUAGUGUAUUGGACUACCAUGGCUUUAACGGGUAACGGAGGAUUAGGGUUCGAUUCCGGAGAGGGAGCCUGAGAAACGGCUACCACAUCUAAGGAAGGCAGCAGGCGCGUAAAUUACCCAAUCGCGACUCGCGGAGGUAGUGACAAGAAAUAACGGACCGAAGCCUAUGUUUCGGGAUUGCAAUGAGUAGAAUUUAAACCCCUUUACGAGGAUCAAUUGGAGGGCAAGUCUGGUA
Molecule: ribosomal RNA, 542 nt
Filed under: uncultured eukaryote
Lineage: Eukaryota
Description: SSU rRNA
Rfam family: Eukaryotic small subunit ribosomal RNA
Source: RNAcentral